UUAAGUUAUUAAGGGCGCACGGUGGAUGCCUUGGCACUAGAAGCCGAUGAAGGACGUUACUAACGACGAUAUGCUUUGGGGAGCUGUAAGUAAGCUUUGAUCCAGAGAUUUCCGAAUGGGGAAACCCAGCAUGAGUUAUGUCAUGUUAUCGAUAUGUGAAUACAUAGCAUAUCAGAAGGCACACCCGGAGAACUGAAACAUCUUAGUACCCGGAGGAAGAGAAAGAAAAUUCGAUUCCCUUAGUAGCGGCGAGCGAAACGGGAAGAGCCCAAACCAACAAGCUUGCUUGUUGGGGUUGUAGGACACUCUAUACGGAGUUACAAAGGACGACAUUAGACGAAUCAUCUGGAAAGAUGAAUCAAAGAAGGUAAUAAUCCUGUAGUCGAAAAUGUUGUCUCUCUUGAGUGGAUCCUGAGUACGACGGAGCACGUGAAAUUCCGUCGGAAUCUGGGAGGACCAUCUCCUAAGGCUAAAUACUCUCUAGUGACCGAUAGUGAACCAGUACCGUGAGGGAAAGGUGAAAAGCACCCCGGAAGGGGAGUGAAAUAGAACCUGAAACCGUGUGCUUACAAGUAGUCAGAGCCCGUUAAUGGGUGAUGGCGUGCCUUUUGUAGAAUGAACCGGCGAGUUACGAUUUGAUGCAAGGUUAAGCAGUAAAUGUGGAGCCGUAGCGAAAGCGAGUCUGAAUAGGGCGUUUAGUAUUUGGUCGUAGACCCGAAACCAGGUGAUCUACCCUUGGUCAGGUUGAAGUUCAGGUAACACUGAAUGGAGGACCGAACCGACUUACGUUGAAAAGUGAGCGGAUGAACUGAGGGUAGCGGAGAAAUUCCAAUCGAACCUGGAGAUAGCUGGUUCUCUCCGAAAUAGCUUUAGGGCUAGCCUCAAGUGAUGAUUAUUGGAGGUAGAGCACUGUUUGGACGAGGGGCCCCUCUCGGGUUACCGAAUUCAGACAAACUCCGAAUGCCAAUUAAUUUAACUUGGGAGUCAGAACAUGGGUGAUAAGGUCCGUGUUCGAAAGGGAAACAGCCCAGACCACCAGCUAAGGUCCCAAAAUAUAUGUUAAGUGGAAAAGGAUGUGGCGUUGCCCAGACAACUAGGAUGUUGGCUUAGAAGCAGCCAUCAUUUAAAGAGUGCGUAAUAGCUCACUAGUCGAGUGACACUGCGCCGAAAAUGUACCGGGGCUAAACAUAUUACCGAAGCUGUGGAUUGUCCUUUGGACAAUGGUAGGAGAGCGUUCUAAGGGCGUUGAAGCAUGAUCGUAAGGACAUGUGGAGCGCUUAGAAGUGAGAAUGCCGGUGUGAGUAGCGAAAGACGGGUGAGAAUCCCGUCCACCGAUUGACUAAGGUUUCCAGAGGAAGGCUCGUCCGCUCUGGGUUAGUCGGGUCCUAAGCUGAGGCCGACAGGCGUAGGCGAUGGAUAACAGGUUGAUAUUCCUGUACCACCUAUAAUCGUUUUAAUCGAUGGGGGGACGCAGUAGGAUAGGCGAAGCGUGCGAUUGGAUUGCACGUCUAAGCAGUAAGGCUGAGUAUUAGGCAAAUCCGGUACUCGUUAAGGCUGAGCUGUGAUGGGGAGAAGACAUUGUGUCUUCGAGUCGUUGAUUUCACACUGCCGAGAAAAGCCUCUAGAUAGAAAAUAGGUGCCCGUACCGCAAACCGACACAGGUAGUCAAGAUGAGAAUUCUAAGGUGAGCGAGCGAACUCUCGUUAAGGAACUCGGCAAAAUGACCCCGUAACUUCGGGAGAAGGGGUGCUCUUUAGGGUUAACGCCCAGAAGAGCCGCAGUGAAUAGGCCCAAGCGACUGUUUAUCAAAAACACAGGUCUCUGCUAAACCGUAAGGUGAUGUAUAGGGGCUGACGCCUGCCCGGUGCUGGAAGGUUAAGAGGAGUGGUUAGCUUCUGCGAAGCUACGAAUCGAAGCCCCAGUAAACGGCGGCCGUAACUAUAACGGUCCUAAGGUAGCGAAAUUCCUUGUCGGGUAAGUUCCGACCCGCACGAAAGGCGUAACGAUUUGGGCACUGUCUCAACGAGAGACUCGGUGAAAUCAUAGUACCUGUGAAGAUGCAGGUUACCCGCGACAGGACGGAAAGACCCCGUGGAGCUUUACUGUAGCUUGAUAUUGAAAUUCGGCACAGCUUGUACAGGAUAGGUAGGAGCCUUUGAAACGUGAGCGCUAGCUUACGUGGAGGCGCUGGUGGGAUACUACCCUAGCUAUGUUGGCUUUCUAACCCGCACCACUUAUCGUGGUGGGAGACAGUGUCAGGCGGGCAGUUUGACUGGGGCGGUCGCCUCCUAAAAGGUAACGGAGGCGCUCAAAGGUUCCCUCAGAAUGGUUGGAAAUCAUUCAUAGAGUGUAAAGGCAUAAGGGAGCUUGACUGCGAGACCUACAAGUCGAGCAGGGUCGAAAGACGGACUUAGUGAUCCGGUGGUUCCGCAUGGAAGGGCCAUCGCUCAACGGAUAAAAGCUACCCCGGGGAUAACAGGCUUAUCUCCCCCAAGAGUUCACAUCGACGGGGAGGUUUGGCACCUCGAUGUCGGCUCAUCGCAUCCUGGGGCUGUAGUCGGUCCCAAGGGUUGGGCUGUUCGCCCAUUAAAGCGGUACGCGAGCUGGGUUCAGAACGUCGUGAGACAGUUCGGUCCCUAUCCGUCGUGGGCGUAGGAAAUUUGAGAGGAGCUGUCCUUAGUACGAGAGGACCGGGAUGGACAUACCUCUGGUGUACCAGUUGUCGUGCCAACGGCAUAGCUGGGUAGCUAUGUGUGGACGGGAUAAGUGCUGAAAGCAUCUAAGCAUGAAGCCCCCCUCAAGAUGAGAUUUCCCAACUUCGGUUAUAAGAUCCCUCAAAGAUGGUGAGGUUAAUAGGUUCGAGGUGGAAGCAUGGUGACAUGUGGAGCUGACGAAUACUAAUCGAUCGAAGACUUAAUCAA
This 2921-nucleotide ribosomal RNA is filed under the name Staphylococcus aureus. RNAcentral describes it as "bacterial LSU rRNA". It matches the Rfam family "Bacterial large subunit ribosomal RNA". The record is from RNAcentral. Lineage: Bacteria; Bacillati; Bacillota; Bacilli; Caryophanales; Staphylococcaceae.